CCCUGCGCGGCCGCUGGUGACUCACGGCGCCGCGCCGGGCCCCGGUUGGCUCGCCAGCGCCGCCCGCCCCUGCUUCCUCCUCCGCGGCACCUGCGGCCGCCGCGGCGCGCUCGCACAGCGGUUCGGUACGGUUCGGAGCGGCUCCGCUCGGCUCGGCGCGAGUGAAGCCCUUUUUGAAUUGUGUCCAUGACUCCGCUAAAGACAAAUCACACCACUGCAUGAAUAACGUUGGAGUGGAUUAUCUCUUGCAGUUCAUGUAACGAACAAGUGUCCAGGUCAUCCCAAUGGGAAGAUAAUUGAUGUAUCAGAGACUUGUUAAAGAAGUCAAGAUUUGUUUUCAUGUAACUGCAAUACAUCUGGGAAUAAUAUUUCUGGUGUGUGUAUAAAUGCGAAGAGAGCAGUUCCUACUGUUUGCCUCUCUGUAGCCCCUCUACCUCGUGGCCUCAGUGGCAGCAAGAGAGAGACUCUGCUGUCAUAGCCUGGCUUGUAUAUGGCAUUAGAUGCUACAGCACUGUUCUUGCAAACAUAUACUGCUUCAAGCAAGAAAAUUCUAUAGUGUGCAAGGGGGUUGACUGCAGUCCUCAGGAAGAUGGCUUAGUAUCCUAUGGCCUCCAUUUCUAAAUGAGUUACUGAAGCACUGGGAUUACUAAUUCACCCUCAGGUCUUAAAUCAGUGGGAUUUUUGCCUCCAGCUCCUCUGUUGACGGACAUGAUGUGAGGAUAUGUCUACAGUAUGCAACCUAAUCUAAUAAAAGGAAAGCCUCAUGGGUAGAAAAAGCAGCAGCUACAUACUAUGGGAUAGCAUCCUGCCUUAGGAUCACUUGCUAAAAUAUUUUCUUCAUUGUGCUCUGCCAACAAAGACAUUAACUACUCAUAAGAUCAUUGCAUGCCUGAACUGACAGUAAUCGAAGGAGGUAUAUUCAUGGCUGUAUUUUGCAAGUGCAGAGCCAGGAUCUGCAUUAGUGUCUUCAGAGGAAUAGUACAGAGCAUGAAAGAGAGAGAAUGCAUCCUUUGGGAAUAAUUUAUAAUAGGUAUGUGAAUGAAUGCUUCUGUUGAUGUGAUUUUGGGACAAAUUGGCCUUUUUUUUUUUUUCUUCUCUGCAAACUAUGUGGAGGUUUAUACUGUUGUUAAAAGUGCUCCUUACAUCCAUGUUCUCUGUUUAUUGGUGGCUUUAGGGGAAAAAAGACAACAAAAAACCAACUUUGCAUUCAUAAAGCACCUUUGCUGUGUUGUUUUCAGAAUACCUAAAAACCAGUAAAUUAAGACUCAAAAAAAGUCCCCCUUAUGGUUCCCAUCAUCAUCAUCUGAUUUGUAAAAAUGGGGCAGAAAAAACUGAUGUCUCACUGGUGAUUUUAAUGCAAAUUUUUACGAUUAUUUUUUGUUUAUCAUUAGUGCUACAAGAAGCAUGGGUAUUUCAUCUCUGAAGUAGGUUAAAAAAUACGUGUCUCUUUUGGAUGUAUUCUUCGCAAUGGAAAACACCCUGGAUACAAUUCUUGACUUGCCAACGUCAAUUGGAAUUUGCCAGCGGUUUUAUAUGUGGACAGGAUUUCCUCCUCGGUGCUACAAAUUAGUCAAUCUUCUUUGUAUAGUCACUCCUGCAUUUGCCCUGUUUGUGAAGAUCUAGCAUGUGUGAUUUGAGCACAAACACAUUUUAUUUAGUGUUACAGUGUUGGAAGACCACAAUAGUUAAAGCCAUCUUAGGAUCAGAACCUCACUUCAGUGGUGAUAGACCAUCCCUCUAACCACUGUGCCUGGGAUCAUCAAGCCUUCUCCCAGUUUGAAUUCACCUUUCCUGGGCUUGAUUGAACAGAAAGGAGAUUUACUGUCUCUAACCAAAAAAGCCAUGGAAUGAUAAUCCAGAGGAUCACACCAACUGUCUCUUGUGAGAGGAAAUGAAGGAAAGAAGUUGUUCUGGAAGGUCAUCUCUCCAGGCAUGCCACCCAGAGAAACAGGAAAAGAAAGUGGCUUUACUGCACCACACACGCACCUGCAGCUUUAAAACAACAUCCACUGCGAAGGAUGUGAUUCUACAUGAUCCCCAUAGGUAGCAUGACAAGACAGCAAACAGGGUAGAGCUGAAAGUAUUAACUGUCCUCACUCCAUGUCAAGGAUGGCUCAUCUACACAACUGCAAAAUGUAUGCAAGUGCUAGGUAUACUCAAACAUUUAGUACAUAGAAGUUUGUAAAAUUUUCAGUAGUCUUCAAGACAAGGCACUAUACUUAUAAAAACUGUAAAUCAGAGAAGCUUGAUAAAAACAUGGGUUGUUGCUACUGCUUCUCUGAGCAGCAGCAGGAUAUCCCCAGCACAAUAUUUGUUCCAGCAUGCAUGCUAACCUGUCUGCCCCUUCAUGGUACUGCUGGGAGGAUGCACACCUGAUGCAAUUUUAGCUGCAUUAUUUAAUGCCACCUUUCUACUUAGAGCACAAAGUGAAAUAGGAUACUGUGACUGAAACUGCUGAUAGUGACUUCCAGAUUUUUUAAUGACUGCUUGCCUUUCUUCUAUUCGGAGUCAGAGGCAAAGAGAGAAACAUCAUUUACCCUGGAGCCAAGCAAACCCCCAGGCCUGAAAUCAAGUAUUAUGUAUUACGUAUUAGGUAUGUAGUAAUUAGUUAUAUCAAAUGUGGGCAGAAGAGAUAUUAAAAGCAUUCAAACAUGCCGUUGGAGUCCUGGGAAGGUUUUAUUUUUCUCUUUCACAGUUUCCUGUCAGCUGUUGCAGGUUCUUCUGGACAUAUCACCAGAGAAUGGAGGAAAAAGUGGGAAAUUUUCCUUUAACUGUAGGCAGAAAUUGUACACAGUUUCCUUUCUUUUCUUAGAAAGCAAGCACUGAGAUGAUUCCCUCAUUUUAAAAUAUCCAGUUUAUCUGAAUACAUUUAUUUUCUGCUGCUGCAUUAUAUCUGCAUUAUGCAUUAUAUCUUCAUAUAAUAAUGCAUUGUACAUUAGAUGUUCAUAUAAAUCUUUUUCAGUACUGUUAAAUAAACUCACCAAAACCACUGCUAACAUCAGAAGUGAUGAAGAACCGCAGGUUGUCCAGAUGAAAUAGUUAUAAGAUACAUUCCAACUUGCAUCUUCAGGACUUUCUGUCUGCUUUACUACUUGUUGUAAAAUUCAUAAAAGGAAAAUUGGAAAGGCUAGAGACAAAUAUUCUAAUCUUUGUGCUUUGAAUAAAAAGAUCUGUUGUCUGUAAUUCCCAAACAUUCAGGAUGCUCUCUGCUUUCUGUUAUGCAAGCUAUUUACAACCUUCACAGAAUCACAGAAUGUCAGGGAUUGGAAGGGACCUCAAAAGCUCAUCCAGUCCAAUCCCCGUGUCAGAGCAGGAACACCCAGAUGAGGUUACACAGGAAGGUGUCCAGGCGGGUUUUCAUUGUCUCCAGAGAUGGAGACUCCACAGCCUCAAUGGGCAGCCUGUUUCAGUCUCUGUCACCCUCACUGAGAAGAAGUUUCUUCUGAAAUAUAAGUGGAGCAUUUUGUGUUCCAGUUUCAACCCAUUACCCCUUUGUACAUACAUUGUUCACGACGCCGAAUUAGUUUUCCCCCCCCCCAAAAAAAAAAAAAUCAGGAUAAGAUGUCCUGAUAGUUCAGUAAAAGGAGAGUUGCAUCUUGUCCUGAAAUUGCAAGUCCUAGAAAGCACCCCUGUGCCAGAGAAGGUCAGCAUGUUCCUGGGAGCUGUUUAUGGCAAAAAAUGUUUCCUGCAAUAAGGUUCACGUCUGAAUGCUGUGCCUAGUGUUUCCUAAAGGGACCAGGGGAGGGGGUCAGGCAACGCCACUCCUGUGACCUCUGCAAAAUUGUUUUUUCUGAUGAUAUCUUGUAAGCCUCACUGGUAUCAAGCCCUUAUGUCUGCACCAUUCCCAGGUGUCGCAGGCUGGAAGCCAGGCUCCCACCAGAGCUGGAUCCGCUCCCUCCACUCAGAACCUCCCUGCAGCCCCAACUGCAAGGGGCACCUUGGUGACCACUGCUCCAGUGAAGAGCAUCCUCCCUGCUGGGGCUCCAUUCUGCAGAAAUCUGGGGUGUUUUUGCUAUUUGUUUCAGCUUGGCUUUUGUCAUAAAUCCUUAGGCACUUUGGAUUUGCCACUGCCAUGCUGUUCCCCACAGCUUUGUUCUUCUCUGCGUUCAGCUUCCCACUGGUGGCUGCAGUGCCAUGUCUCACCUGGUCACCCUUGUGGAAAUUUGGGCAGCUCCACACCACCCCCACACUGAUAGCACUAUGGAGCAGGGCAGAGCACCCCUGCUGUUCAGAAGAGUUAAUGAGGCCCUCUGUACCUGGUUACAACUCCACAUGUCUUCCCAGCUCAGGUGAGCUGGUGGCUCUGUGGAAGCUUUUCCAAGACACUGAGCUUAAUCCUGCUCCCAGUGAAGCCAGCAGUGAAACUGAUCACAACUUUGGUACCUGCAUGGCUGGAUCUGCUGUAAAGGAGGAUGCAAGAGGCAAAGCAGGUUCAAAGUGCCCAGCAAAAUCCUGUGAAGAAGCAUACUUCUUUCAUAAACUUGUGAGAGGAUAUAACUCUUAUGCGAAUGGAAAGAUAUGAGUUAUACAUUUGUGGGGAGCAACUAGUUCUUGUAUGGUAGAAAUACUUUGAGAAUAUAUGGGUUCAUUACAAAAAUUAUAUUCAUCCUUCCUUUCCCGGAGAAGCAAUAUUUCAUUUUGGCCUUACAGAUCGACCCUAUGUGGCUUUGAGGGUGUAGCCUUGUUAAUAUAUGCUGAUUGAAAGCUGUCUCCAAGAAGAAACGUGCAAUAAUGAGCCUCCUCGUGCUCCUUCUCUCACCCAGUAUUUUUUGGAGCUCUGGGAGUAGCACUGAGUAAAAUCAGAUGAAAUUUAAAACAUCUGCCACUCUCUCUGUUCCUAAACCAGCAGAAACAGAAAGAGCUCAGUUACUUAAUACAUGCAGUGCUUUACCAUUAUGCAAACACAAACUUCUCCCUGUGUUUGUUUCUGAGUAAAGAGGGCUGGACUCACCAGGUGAUCCAGCAGAUGAUGUUUUAGUGUGCAUCACACAGCUCUGUGGGAUCACGGUGAGAGAGGGAGAGAACAUUCCUUGUUUCUAUCAUUUCUGAUGUUACACCAGCCUUGUCUGGAACUAAUUUGAUUCCUGGCUCUGCCUGUCUCUUGUAUUAACAUCCCCAGUGGACCAAGAAAUACUUGAAUCCAAAAAAAGGUUUGGGUUAGAGGUUUUGGCUUCUUUCAUUGGAACAACUUUUAUCAAAUAGUGGUGGGGCUAAGGGUGGGCCUCUGACUUUCCAAUACAGGCCAGUCUGGUGCCGACAACAUGCCAGCUGUUGCAGAACCCAUUUAUUGCUCCAGAGCUACCUGCAAAUUAAUAGCACUGAUUCCUGUGUGUGAUCAGAAAUACACCGCACAGAGCAGUGACCGUAAGACACAAAAGAGUCAAACACCCUGGUCUUCUAGCUAUUGGCUGGUCAGUUGCUGAUAAAGAGUAUUUUAAAACACUAACCUUUUGCUGUAACUCCUUAACAAACAAAAGCCAUCAAAUUUGUCCUUCCUUCUUUUUAUUCCUAAAGAUGUCAGUGUUAGUAGAGAGAUUAUUAUGCUUACAACAGACUCUUAAAAUCUUUGAAGACACAAUAUUUUAUCUUUUUAAAGCCACUGGGUAGCACUGAAUAGGAACCAUUAUCCAGCAAAGUAUAUUUUCACCGAUGUCUGACCUUGCAAUCCGUUGCUCCCACAAGGUUCUGUUGUGCUUUGAUUAUCUCUGUAGCCUUGCUUGUGUGAGUGCAAAGGUGGCAGUUCCCCUCACUUUGGCAGUGAAGGAAUAACACCAGCUGUGGAAAAAAAAAAAAAAAAGAAAAAAAAAAUUAAUGAGUUUAGCUCCACCAUUUUUAUACUGAAUUACUUUCUGCCUAGAUCUACAGGGUCUCUGAGACUUCCAAUGGAAAAAAAAAAAUAAAAUGGGAUUAAGCUUAAAAAAACCCCAGUGAUAACCUAAAAGAGGUCUAUUUUCAGGUUAUUUCUGUUGCUGGACUACAGUACAGUGAAUAAGUGCCAGUGACACACAAACACACUAGUCUAGAACAAUCUGAAACAAUACUGUCCAGAAAGAUUAUCACUGGUGCUGAUGCAGGGUGGUACUCAGGACUAAACCAGCUCCUAGGUGCUGGCUGGUAGCACAGCAUGAGUGCAUCCUGACUCUGAGAAGGGGAAGGCCCAGGUCUGAAAAGAUGUAGUCCAAGGAAAGCAUAAGAAGUCAGUGACCUGUAAAUAGUGACACCCAGAAAUAUAGCUGAGACUGGAAACAGUAAUUCCCUCUUUACACCCAGUGUGUUAACUGCCAGUAUGCACUAAAUCUAAAGACACAUCUGAAGGAGGAUAUGACAAUGUGCUAAAAAUUAGUGAAAUUAGGAUGGAGAGUGCUAGCAGCUGACAUAAUAGGGAGAAGUUCUUUGUGUUCCCACAUCCAUCAAAAGCACAAAAGUUCAAGUGUCUUUUUAAAGUCUUCUGCAUAUAGAAGAUUUUCCCAAAGCAUUUUGAUUGCUAUAGCUGUUAAUCCAAAUCACAGAUGAACACAGAAACAAGUUAGUGCAGAAGGAUGAAUUAUACAAAUUGAAUUAUACAACAUGACCUGGCAAUGUGCACUUGCAUCCCAGAAAACCAACCGUGUCCUGGGCUGCAUCAAAAGAAGCGUGUCCAGCAGGUCAAGGGAGGUGAUUCUGCCCCUCUGCUCUGCUCUGGUGAGACCCCACCUGGAGUACUGCAUCCAGUUCUGGGGCCCUCAGCACAGGACUGACACAGACCUGUUGGAGAGGGGCCAGAGGAGCCACAGGAAUGAUCAGAGGGCUGGAACAGCUCUGCUGUGAGAAAAGGCUGAGAAAGUGAUGGUUGUUCAGCCUGGAGAACAGAAGGCUCUAGGAGAAACUUAUAGCAGCCUUCCAGUACCUAAAGGGGACCUACAAGAAAGCUGGAGAGGGACUUUUCACGUGGGCAUGUAGUGAUAGGACAAGGGGUAAUGGCCUUAAACUGAAACAGUGUAGAUUUAGAUUAGAUAUAAGGAAAAAAUUCUUUACUAAGAGGAUGGUGACACACUGGAAGAGGUUGGCCAGAGAAGAUGUAGAUGCUCCAUCCCUGGAAGUAUUCAAUGCUAGCUUGGAUGAGGCUUUGAGUAGAGGCUUUAGUAGAAGGUGUCUCUCCCCAUGGCGGUGGGAGGGGGUGCGGAACUAGAUGGUCUUUAGGGUUCCUUCCAACCCAAACCAAUCUGUGAUUCUAUGAUGUGGUUUUUGUAGCUAUACAUCUUCUCCUAUAUCACCUGGCCAGCUGUGGACACAUGUGAUGAGACAGCUUGCAACAAGAAGCCAGACAAAUACACCCUUAUUUCAGAGCUGAGCCUUUCAGAGAAAUGGAUGCUAGUUCAGUAAAAGGGGCAAGUCAAGGAGACUGAAAACUUUCGCAACAAGUGUUUUUCCCCUUUCCUUCAGCAAAGACAUGCAGAGAAUCACAGGUGAGGCAGGUGCCUUCACUUCACGCAUUUUUCUAACCCUGGGGUCGCAGUUUGCAGAGGAGAAGGUCUUGGUGUGCCUGUGCAAAACAAUGGCAAGAAGCAGCAGUCCAAAUACAGCAAGCAAAAGAACUGAACCUUUGUUGCGUUUGCCUGCAGGGUACAGUAGCAUGGGUGCUAACAGUACUGCCACAGCCAGAACUCAUUCAUUUGGUGCCUCAUGCUGUGUAGUUGCAUGUUUAAGAGCCAGUAUAGCUUCACAGUCACUCAAAAGUCCUCCUUGUGUAAUUCAUAAAAUAAUCUUAAUCUGCCAUCUUGAUACCCCUUAUCUCAUAUCCUCCAGGAGACAUUAAAAUAGAAGAUCCCUUGUAGGAUUGCAUGGCUGCUUUAAUAACAUAAAACAAAUUUAAAUAUUCAGAUAAUGUCAGUAUUGUUUAUUCUUUUCCUUGUUUAGGCUUCAUGCUUGUUUUCUAAGGCUACUUAGCACCGGUAAAAUAUGCAGGCUAACUGCACAUUUUCUAAAUGCAGAACCAUAGACAUGAGCUUUCACUUAUGUCUGUAGCAGGAUUUCAUUUCAAAUUUGGGUAUCGAGAAGUGAAAUGUUUGCCCUCCACAAAGAUCAAAACACAGAUGUCAUCUUGCCAAAUACAGAGAAACCAUAAUCAAAAAUGCAUAGAUUUCAUAGAUUUCAUUGUACCUAUUUGCACCUUGAAAGCAACAUUGUUGUGCCAAAAUGGAGCUUUUCAGCCCUUACACAAUGUCACAUUCUGCCUAUGUGAGUGAGCAGUGGUUAUGUGUGGAGCUCUGCCUGAGCACAGCGAAAAGGCCACCUGAGACCUUAUAGAUUAGAGGUCUGAUCAAUGUGGGUGAUAUUGCAGUGGGUGUCUGCUGUGGAGACCACCUGCUCAGGAGGAAGAAAUAGACAAGGGAUUUCUUAAAACAACUGCAAGAAGCCUCACAUUCAGAGGUCCUGAAAAGCUGAACUACCCUGAUACCUGCUAGAGGGGUAAAACAUCAGGGCACAGGCAGUCCGGAAAGUUUUGAAUUGUGCCAACAGCAAAUUCUUGACAUAGGUGAUCAAGGAACGAAGCAGAAAAGAUGAUUUGCUGGUCCUCAUGUUUACAAACAAGGUCAGCAUUGUGAAGACUGGGGCAGCCUUGGCUGCAGUGGCCAUGAGAUUGUCAAGGUCAGGAUCCUGAGAAAGAAUAACAGAGCAAACAGCAAGAUGAUAACCCUGGACUUCUGGAGAGCAGACUGUAACCAGAGACUGUCCAGAGAUCUGCUUGAAAAAAACUCAUGUGAGACAGCCCUGGAGAGAAGAAGAGACAAGAAGAGCCAGUUGACUUUCAAGGAUCACCUCCUCCAAGCACAAGAAUCACACAAGAAUCAUCCAUACCAACAAGCAGAAACAGAGCAAAGCGGGCAGGAGGCCUGCAUGGAUGAGUAAGGAGCUCCCAGCUAUGCUCUGACAUAAAAAGGAGGUGUACAGGAGGUGGAAGGAGGAGCAGGCGACCCAGGAGGAAUACAGAGAUGCUGUCUGACCAUGGAAGGGUGGGUUCAGGAAAGCCAAAGCUCACCUGGAGUUGAAUCUAGCAGGAGAUACAGGAGUGAAAAAGAAAGAUUUUUACAGGGUCCUCAGGAGUAAAGGGCAUCCUAGACAAAAUGUGGGCUUGUGACUAUGCAGAACAGGUUUUUGAUGGCAAAAAAUACAGAAAGGGCCAAGUUACUCUCUUCCUUCUUUGCCCCAGCCUUCAGGAAUCCUAGGUCCCUGAGACCAGGGGAAAAACCAAGGUGAUGUAGGCUUGCCCUUACAUGUGGACAAUCAGGAUAGGAAGCUUUAACAAAGUGGACUUACACAAAUCCACAGUCAAUGGGAUGCGCUGAGUACUGAGGGGCAUGUCUGAUGUCCUUGGUUGUAGAGUCUCCAGCAGUGGAAUAAUGCAAAAUCCUGCUGGAUGUGGACCUCAGCAACCUGCUCGAGCUGGCCCUGCUUUGAGCAGGAAGAGUGAAGUAGAUACCCUCUAGAAAAGGUCUGUUCCAUGUUCAGCCCUUCUGUGAUCCUGUAGGGACAGAGUAAAUAGUGCUCCAGCUGCUCAGAGCUCCAGCCCUGCCACAGCUGUCCUAACAGGAGGGAGCACCUCUCCUUCAGGCAGGGCUGCUGAUCUAGGCUUUUCCCAUUAUGACUGCACCCAGGGAGGCCAGGUAAAGAAGACGACAAUGAAGAGCAUUCAACAAGGUUAAGAAAACCAAUUCUCUCAAUUUCUGGCACAUCCCAUGGAAGCAGAGAUACAUCAGGCUCUUUGUAAACAAUCAUCUGUGCUUCGAGUGUAACCCAACUGUUAAAUGACAGCAGUGAAGAAGAAACUUUGUCACUGGGCAGCUGCCUCCAUAAUUGCCAGUUACUGGGGCUGCUGCACUUUCCUUUGAAGCACCCCACAACUGGGUGCUGGCAGUGAGCCAGGGAAAGGAUGCUAAGAUGCUAAUCUGUUAAUCAUGAGGUGCAGGAUAUCAAAUUACAUUUGUUACUUUUAGUCCGGAUUUAAAGACUGACUAUUCUAUAAGCCCUUAAGUGUUAUCUGGAAGGAAAAAAAAAAAAAAAAAAGAAAAAAAAAGAAGAAGUUUUCCUAUGUUUUCUAACUUUUGUAUGAAUUUGGAAAGGAAAAUGACCCCCCUUCCAUUCACUGUCCCUCCCAUUUUAUUGUUGAAUUUAUACAAAUAUGUCCAGCAUGUUUCUGUUGCUAUAUCUACUUACUCUCCAGCCUCUCAUCUUCUCAGCACCUUCUCAUCUUUUCAAGCAGUCAUGGAACAGUGAUCUCCUGAGUCUCCCACAGCACAUGGGUUACAUGAGCCAGCUCCUCAGACACUGCCUCACGUAACUGCCAUGACGGCCAAUGCCCCGGCUGUUUGGGGUGAAGGCAGGGGAAAACGUAUAUUUCUUUCUAUAUGAGUCACAGACCUUGGGUUCUGUAAAGUCAGCAGUGAUGGAGUUAAACAAGAUUGUGAAAGCAGAUUUUUUUUCAGAGCUCAGGCUAUGUUUGCAGCUUAAAAGCAUACUGUAGCUUUGAGGAGAGUUUUUCAUUAUUGGACAGGAUCCAGCAUCUCACCAUCUAUGUUACAGUUUCCUCAAAGGCAGGCAGAUUAUAAGGAAAUAGCAGCCACAUCUGUGGCAGCUACAUUUAUCCCAUCUGCUUUUAUUUUAUCAACUGGGAAAGUAAAACCCUAGUCAUCACACAAGUCUGUUUUGUAAGGAUUAGGGCAAAUAACUCCGCACUGACAAAACAUACACAUAGUUGUUUUUUCCUUCUGGAUGAGACAUUUAAAAAUUACAUUUUCAGUGGAUUUAAUUACAGUUAAAAGUUUUCACCAUUUAUUCCAAGUCAUUAUAGUGCUUACAAGCUUAAUUCAAGAAGUUCUGUGCUCCCUUGCCCAAGUAAUUUUUAAAGCAGGCUAUUAAAAAACAUUACCACACAGUCGUCUUUAAAACAGCAUGGGUCUGGAUGCCCCAAUUUUACCUUUGCUCAGGUCACUGUUAUUAAUGCCACCAGGCGAAGGCAGGAGGCUGGUGUGGACAUGGGGAGUGAGGAAGAAAAGCAAAUGGGAGGAGCAGGGGGACAGAAAAUACAUCUCCAUAACACAUUUUCUCCUGUCUCUGAGACAUGUAAUGGGUAUCAUCACCAGUAACCAUAUCAUGCAGUUCUGUUUAUAAAGUGACCAGGCACUUUCCUGUGAUCUCAUUACACUAUUAACCUAAGUGCACCCAACCUCACUUGUCUGGAAGGUAGAAACCUUUCAUUUCUGGCUUAGUUCUGCAGGCAGUACCCAUUUGUUCCCAUGCCAACAUUGACUGAUUGUUUUUUUCUCCCUCUUAUGUUUUUUUUUUUUAAUUGUUCCUGUCUCCUCCUUCUUUUCUCAGUAUUUCUCUAGAGAAGUCAUAAACUCUAAUAAAACAAAGAUUUUACUAUACUAAACAAGUCAAAGUUGCUUAUGUCCCCCCUUCCUAAUCAUUUUACCCAUCUCUUGCUAUACCUUUUUCAGUUUAGGUGAAUCUUUCCUAAGCAUGGACAAUGAGAAAUUUGCACAUUGUGCUGGGGAAAUGUUGUCAAUGCCUUGUAUAAUAACAUUAAUAUGUUCUUAUCUCUUCUGGAACUGAUCGCACAUCAGAGAGUUUUUGAUCUCCCCAGGCACAGAGAAGCUGCAUCCUUGGCACUAAAGCACAGUGCAUUCAGGUCUUACUCACUGUGUCCUACAUGGAGUACAUCUGAAAGCCCUUUCAAAAGGAUGCCAGUGUCACUGUACCCAGUUUACAAAGGCAAUUCAGGCAAUGAAAUAGCUUGCCCAAAGCUCCACAGCAGACUGAUAGCCAAAAUUAAAUGAAAACUAUGUAUGCCUUCACCAACAAAUGUUUUGUUGCAAAGGUUGCAAAGAGAGAUCAGACAGGCCUUUUAAUCUAAAGAUUAGGAAAAAGAAGGUGAAAUAUUAUAACUGAGGAGGAUGGAAGACCUUUCCUGUGGAUAAAACAGGAAGUUACUCUCAUAUGAAAUUCUGUUGACAUUAUAUCCAUAACACUUUUGGAAAAAAAAAAAAAAAAAAAAAAAAAAAGAAGCAAAAAACAAAAGAG
Columba livia (rock pigeon) is the source of this 12060-nucleotide long non-coding RNA. RefSeq lists it as uncharacterized. NCBI's taxonomy places the organism in Eukaryota, Metazoa, Chordata, Aves, Columbiformes, Columbidae. The transcript has 6 exons. The record is from RefSeq and is a predicted model, not a curated record.